GAUGAACGCUGGCGGCGUGCCUAAUACAUGCAAGUCGAGCGAACAGAUGAGGAGCUUGCUCCUCUGACGUUAGCGGCGGACGGGUGAGUAACACGUGGAUAACCUACCUAUAAGACUGGGAUAACUUCGGGAAACCGGAGCUAAUACCGGAUAAUAUAUUGAACCGCAUGGUUCAAUAGUGAAAGACGGUUUUGCUGUCACUUAUAGAUGGAUCCGCGCCGCAUUAGCUAGUUGGUAAGGUAACGGCUUAUCAAGGCAACGAUGUGUAGACUACCUGAGAGGGUGAUCCGCCACACUGGAACUGAGACACGGUCCAGACUCCUACGGGAGGCAGCAGUAGGGGAUCUUCCGCAAUGGGAGAAAGCCUGACGGAGCAACGCCGCGUGAGUGAUGAAGGUCUUCGGAUCGUAAAACUCUGUUAUUAGGGAAGAACAAAUGUGUAAGUAACUAUGCACGUCUUGACGGUACCUAAUCAGAAAGCCACGGCUAACUACGUG
This 497-nucleotide ribosomal RNA is filed under the name uncultured bacterium. Its description in RNAcentral is "partial 16S ribosomal RNA". It matches the Rfam family "Bacterial small subunit ribosomal RNA", at positions 28 to 507 of the family's 1533-position model. The record is from RNAcentral.